RNAcentral lists this ribosomal RNA (425 nucleotides) under uncultured soil bacterium. RNAcentral's name for it is "bacterial SSU rRNA". It matches the Rfam family "Bacterial small subunit ribosomal RNA", at positions 26 to 440 of the family's 1533-position model. The record is from RNAcentral.
AGAUUGAACGCUGGCGGCAGGCUUAACACAUGCAAGUCGAGCGGUAGCAGGUCCUUCGGGAUGCUGACGAGCGGCGGACGGGUGAGUAAUACAUAGGAAACUGCCCAGUAGUGGGGGAUAGCCCGGGGAAACCCGGAUUAAUACCGCAUACGCCCUUUGGGGGAAAGCAGGGGAUCUUCGGACCUUGCGCUAUUGGAUGUGCCUAUGUCGGAUUAGCUAGUUGGUGGGGUAAAGCCUACCAAGGCGACGAUCCGUAGCUGGUCUGAGAGGAUGAUCAGCCACAUCGGGACUGAGACCGACGGCCCGAACUCCGUAACGGGAGGACCAGCAGGUAGGGGAAUAGUUAGGACAAGGUGGGGGACAACCCUGAUCCAGCCAGUCGCGCGUGUGUGAAGAAGGUCGUUUGGGUGUAAGCUACUUCGAGU